This 84-nucleotide transfer RNA is filed under the name Candidatus Undinarchaeales archaeon. RNAcentral describes it as "tRNA-Leu". It matches the Rfam family "tRNA". Rfam says of the family: Transfer RNA (tRNA) molecules are approximately 80 nucleotides in length. Their secondary structure includes four short double-helical elements and three loops (D, anti-codon, and T loops). Further hydrogen bonds mediate the characteristic L-shaped molecular structure. tRNAs have two regions of fundamental functional importance: the anti-codon, which is responsible for specific mRNA codon recognition, and the 3' end, to which the tRNAs corresponding amino acid is attached (by aminoacyl-tRNA synthetases). tRNAs cope with the degeneracy of the genetic code in two manners: having more than one tRNA (with a specific anti-codon) for a particular amino acid; and 'wobble' base-pairing, i.e. permitting non-standard base-pairing at the 3rd anti-codon position. The record is from RNAcentral. Lineage: Archaea; Nanobdellati; Candidatus Undinarchaeota; Candidatus Undinarchaeia; Candidatus Undinarchaeales.
GCGGGGGUGGCGGAGCGGCCAAACGCGGCAGACUCAAGAUCUGUUGGCUCAGCGCCUUCAAGGGUUCGAAUCCCUUCCCCCGCA